This 449-nucleotide ribosomal RNA is filed under the name uncultured bacterium. RNAcentral's name for it is "bacterial SSU rRNA". It matches the Rfam family "Bacterial small subunit ribosomal RNA", at positions 330 to 794 of the family's 1533-position model. The record is from RNAcentral.
CCCAGACUCCUACGGGAGGCAGCAGUGGGGGAUAUUGCACAAUGGGGGGAACCCUGAUGCAGCGACGCCGCGUGGGUGAAGAAGUAUUUCGGUAUGUAAAGCCCUAUCGGCAGGGAAGAAAUUGGACGGUACCUGACUAAGAAGCCCCGGCUAACUACGUGCCAGCAGCCGCGGUAAUACGUAGGGGGCAAGCGUUAUCCGGAUUCACUGGGUGUAAAGGGAGCGUAGACGGCCAUGCAAGCCUGGAGUGAAAGCCCGGGGCCCAACCCCGGGACUGCUCUGGGAACUGUGCGGCUGGAGUGCGGGAGGGGCAGGCGGAAUUCCUGGUGUAGCGGUGAAAUGCGUAGAUAUAAGGAAGAACACCAGUGGCGAAGGCGGAUUACUGGACGAUAACUGACGGUGAGGCGCGAAAGCGUGGGGAGCAAACAGGAUUAGAUACCCUUGUAAGA